This is a long non-coding RNA of Mustela lutreola (European mink), 376 nucleotides long. RefSeq lists it as uncharacterized. Lineage: Eukaryota; Metazoa; Chordata; Mammalia; Carnivora; Mustelidae. The record is from RefSeq and is a predicted model, not a curated record. The transcript has 3 exons.
GUAUGUCUGUGGAGGCAUCCCAAUGCCAGAGGGAUCCAUCCUCAGAACAAGUAAAUAGAUGAUCUGGGUUGGAUGGGUGAAAGUGAACUUCCCACACUAAAAGCUUCAUGAGCCUUCAGCAGAGACACAGGCAUAGUGCCUUGUCUAACAUCCCAAAUACUCAGCAUUCCGUCCUGGCCACCAGUAGCUACAACAUGCUGCUGGUUGGGAUGUCUAUCAACACAGUGGAGGGGUACUCGGUCACCAGUCCUUUUAUGAGAGACAGAAGGACAUCAAACAUGCUCCAAGGAAACAGUCAACAAAACCAAAAGAGAACUGACAGAAUGGGAGAAGAUAUUUGCAAAUGACAUAUCAAAUAAAGAGCUGGUAUCCAAAA